RNAcentral lists this long non-coding RNA (192 nucleotides) under Sus scrofa (pig). RNAcentral describes it as "lncRNA (ENSSSCG00055019155.1)". The record is from RNAcentral. Lineage: Eukaryota; Metazoa; Chordata; Mammalia; Artiodactyla; Suidae.
CAUAAGCUCUGGCUGACCUUUUAGUAGCCAUAACAGUGGCAGAGAAACAAUAAAGAUACAUCAAGCAAGAGUUCCGUCUUGCCACUGGGCUACCCAGGGCAUGAACCAGAGUAUUGUAUGGAAUUUGUGCUCCUAAAUUUGGUCCUGGUGAGACAACCUCUUGCAAAUAGCAUCCUCUUCCCCAGUUGUUAG